AGACCCGAAACCCGGUGAUCUAGCCAUGGGCAGGUUGAAGGUUGGGUAACACUAACUGGAGGACCGAACCGACUAAUGUUGAAAAAUUAGCGGAUGACCUGUGGCUGGGGGUGAAAGGCCAAUCAAACCGGGAGAUAGCUGGUUCUCCCCGAAAGCUAUUUAGGUAGCGCCUCGUGAAUUCAUCUCCGGGGGUAGAGCACUGUUUCGGCUAGGGGGCCAUCCCGGCUUACCAACCCGAUGCAAACUGCGAAUACCGGAGAAUGUUAUCACGGGAGACACACGGCGGGUGCUAACGUCCGUCGUGAAGAGGGAAACAACCCAGACCGCCAGCUAAGGUCCCAAAGUCAUGGUUAAGUGGGAAACGAUGUGGGAAGGCCCAGACAGCCAGGAUGUUGGCUUAGAAGCAGCCAUCAUUUAAAGAAAGCGUAAUAGCUCACUGGUCGAGUCGGCCUGCGCGGAAGAUGUAACGGGGCUAAACCAUGCACCGAAGCUGCGGCAGCGAACGUAUCACCCAAGACAACUUUACGGAGUUGACGAUUGACGGAGCGAAGCGACGUCAAAGCGUUCAUUAAAGUCGAGUUGGCUUAGGGAUACGUUCGUUGGGUAGGGGAGCGUUCUGUAAGCCUGUGAAGGUGUGUCGUGAGGCAUGCUGGAGGUAUCAGAAGUGCGAAUGCUGACAUAAGUAACGAUAAAGCGGGUGAAAAGCCCGCUCGCCGGAAGACCAAGGGUUCCUGUCCAACGUUAAUCGGGGCAGGGUGAGUCGACCCCUAAGGCGAGGCCGAAAGGCGUAGUCGAUGGGAAACGGGUUAAUAUUCCCGUACUUGGUGUUACUGCGAAGGGGGGACGGAGAAGGCUAUGUUGGCCGGGCGACGGUUGUCCCGGUUUAAGCGUGUAGGUGUGUGUUCCAGGUAAAUCCGGUUCACUUUAACACUGAGGCGUGACGACGAGGCACUACGGUGCUGAAGCAACAAAUGCCCUGCUUCCAGGAAAAGCCUCUAAGCAUCAGGUAACACGAAAUCGUACCCCAAACCGACACAGGUGGUCA
This 1045-nucleotide ribosomal RNA is filed under the name Salmonella enterica. RNAcentral describes it as "partial 23S ribosomal RNA". It matches the Rfam family "Bacterial large subunit ribosomal RNA", at positions 711 to 1669 of the family's 2925-position model. The record is from RNAcentral. Lineage: Bacteria; Pseudomonadati; Pseudomonadota; Gammaproteobacteria; Enterobacterales; Enterobacteriaceae. RNAcentral also lists the same sequence under 2 other names.